Molecule: small RNA, 101 nt
Filed under: Sinorhizobium meliloti 2011
Lineage: Bacteria; Pseudomonadati; Pseudomonadota; Alphaproteobacteria; Hyphomicrobiales; Rhizobiaceae
Description: putative ncRNA
Source: RNAcentral
AUCCGGUCCUUCCGGACUCAGACAAUUUCACCGACUGGCGAAUGGGUCUGAUUUUUCUCCCUGUUUUACCUUGAGAGCCGCUUCGCGCGGCUCUUUUUUUU